CGUGGUUUUACAACGUUUUCAGAUUUGAAGAAAAUGUCGGGAAAUAUGCAGCCGAAAUCCGAGGAGAGCAGAUACAAAUUAUGACACAAUCUUCAGUAUUGUACUUUGGAAAGAUAAUAAUCUACACCAGCAAUCUGCGGAUCAUCCGGGCCUAUCAGAGUGAAGGAAGGACAUGGAGACAUCCUCAGCUCCCUGGGGGAAUGGGCGAGUACUCACAGGGAGGCCCAAAGCCCUCUGUGCUCACAGGGAGGGGCAGAGCACCGAUCGACCGGACAAGCAAUAUACUGCAUCCAGCUGCCAGCAUUGUGGAGGUUCGGACUGUCCCCUGCUCUUUGUGCCAUGGCAGCUGUCCAUACUGGCCAACCACUUCAACGAGUCUAUCAGUGUGCUGUGAUGCCAGUCCUGCUACACUGAUGGACUGGAGAGGUGCCAGUCCUGUACCAAAUGACACUAACCACUGGCUGUGUGUGCCAAUGGUACUGCUGCAAUGAGAUAAUAUCACUGUAAUACAAAAUGCUUAUGAUGGGUAUGGGAGCACUGUGUAUGUUUUUGUAAGGAAUCAGAAUUCAAUUUUUGGAAAGGAAGGAUCCUACCAUACAUGCAGCCGGCUGAAUUAUAGAGAACAAUUAGUGUGUGCAGUGAAUAUUGCAUAUGAUAAGACAACAUAUUCACUCUUUUGGUGGUAGCUGGUGCAUCUGAGUCCCUACAAAAAUAACAUGCACCUCCAACUGGUUUCUUCAUGACAACAUGUCAUUUUAAGAAAAAUAUUGUAAAACCAUUGCAUUUUAUUUUAUCCACAAGGCAAGCUGUCCUAUCAUCCCCACAUUGAGAGAAAACUGCUUUUUAUCUCCCAUGUUAAGGUAAUUGAUGCUUUCAUUUUCACUAAGCUUAAUAAUGAGAGAGCGGGAGAAACUGACGGUAAUAAAUGGUGAUGGAGAGGCUUUUGGUCAGCUCUGGAGGUAGAAAGAAAUUAAUUUGUUUAUUGUCGUCCUAAUUCUGAGGUAAUUGCUUCCAGAGUUGUCUUGGGUGAAAAUGUAUAGAAUGGACUCGUGCCUUAUUUUAAUUGGCUCAUAUUAGUCAAUUAAAUAAUCAAUUUAAGUUUAUAGGCUCCUGUCUUUACUAGUAGAAAUGGAGAUACACGGGUUGUACAGCAAAUAUCCAUGAAAGACGUUUGUUGAUAUACAGUUGUUGCUGGAGGUUUCUUAAUGGCUUUAUCUCAGCUGAACACACAUAACUGUAGUGCCAAAAAGUCAGAGCUGGUCUUAUUCAUUGCCUCUCCUCUGUGUGGGGAAAUUGCUGCAUCAGAGCAUUGAGCUGCUGCUCUUACAGGGAAUCCUGCAGCAUGGAGAGCUACUGUAGCUGCAAUAAUUAUGUGAGGUUCUGUCAAAGCCUCAGAGGUGUGACUAAUUACCUCGUUAGCUCCCCAAGAAAUUGUAUUGAUCAAUUGUGUUCACCUGUAUUGUAUUUAAGCCUUGUUUCUUUUUGUUUGAGGGACGGCUGCCCACAGGAGGGAAUACAGGCCAGAGGUAUGGUUGUUUCAAGGAGCAUGGGGGUAAUGGAGUCUGAAACGUUGGAAGUUAUGGGAAAAAAGAUGGACUCCUACCCCCUUUUGUUUCUGUUCAAAUCAAAUGUUAUUUGUCACAUACACAUGGUUAGCAGAUGUUAAUGCGAGUGUAGUGAAAUGCUUGUGCUUC
Oncorhynchus tshawytscha (Chinook salmon) is the source of this 1694-nucleotide long non-coding RNA. NCBI's taxonomy places the organism in Eukaryota, Metazoa, Chordata, Actinopteri, Salmoniformes, Salmonidae. The record is from Ensembl.